This 429-nucleotide ribosomal RNA is filed under the name Gemmatimonadota bacterium. RNAcentral describes it as "Gemmatimonadetes bacterium partial 16S ribosomal RNA". It matches the Rfam family "Bacterial small subunit ribosomal RNA", at positions 355 to 776 of the family's 1533-position model. Lineage: Bacteria; Pseudomonadati; Gemmatimonadota. The record is from RNAcentral.
UAGGGAAUCUUCGGCAAUGGACGAAAGUCUGACCGAGCAACGCCGCGUGAGUGAAGAAGGUUUUCGGAUCGUAAAACUCUGUUGUUAGAGAAGAACAAGGACGUUAGUAACUGAACGUCCCCUGACGGUAUCUAACCAGAAAGCCACGGCUAACUACGUGCCAGCAGCCGCGGUAAUACGUAGGUGGCAAGCGUUGUCCGGAUUUAUUGGGCGUAAAGCGAGCGCAGGCGGUUUCUUAAGUCGGAUGUGAAAGCCCCCGGCUCAACCGGGGAGGGUCAUUGGAAACUGGGAGACUUGAGUGCAGAAGAGGAGAGUGGAAUUCCAUGUGUAGCGGAGAAAUGCGUAGAUAUAUGGAGGAACACCAGUGGCGAAGGCGGCUCUCUGGUCUGUAACUGACGCUGAGGCUCGAAAGCGUGGGGAGCAAACAGG